RNAcentral lists this ribosomal RNA (727 nucleotides) under Lactobacillus sp. ab2. RNAcentral describes it as "bacterial SSU rRNA". It matches the Rfam family "Bacterial small subunit ribosomal RNA", at positions 56 to 749 of the family's 1533-position model. Lineage: Bacteria; Bacillati; Bacillota; Bacilli; Lactobacillales; Lactobacillaceae. The record is from RNAcentral.
UGCAGUCGACGAGUUCUCGUUGAUGAUCGGUGCUUGCACCGAGAUUCAACAUGGAACGAGUGGCGGACGGGUGAGUAACACGUGGGUAACCUGCCCUUAAGUGGGGGAUAACAUUUGGAAACAGAUGCUAAUACCGCAUAGAUCCAAGAACCGCAUGGUUCUUGGCUGAAAGAUGGCGUAAGCUAUCGCUUUUGGAUGGACCCGCGGCGUAUUAGCUAGUUGGUGAGGUAAUGGCUCACCAAGGCGAUGAUACGUAGCCGAACUGAGAGGUUGAUCGGCCACAUUGGGACUGAGACACGGCCCAAACUCCUACGGGAGGCAGCAGUAGGGAAUCUUCCACAAUGGACGCAAGUCUGAUGGAGCAACGCCGCGUGAGUGAAGAAGGCUUUCGGGUCGUAAAACUCUGUUGUUGGAGAAGAAUGGUCGGCAGAGUAACUGUUGUCGGCGUGACGGUAUCCAACCAGAAAGCCACGGCUAACUACGUGCCAGCAGCCGCGGUAAUACGUAGGUGGCAAGCGUUAUCCGGAUUUAUUGGGCGUAAAGCGAGCGCAGGCGGUUUUUUAAGUCUGAUGUGAAAGCCCUCGGCUUAACCGAGGAAGCGCAUCGGAAACUGGGAAACUUGAGUGCAGAAGAGGACAGUGGAACUCCAUGUGUAGCGGUGAAAUGCGUAGAUAUAUGGAAGAACACCAGUGGCGAAGGCGGCUGUCUGGUCUGUAACUGACGCUGA